GAGUUUGAUCCUGGCUCAGGACGAACGCUGGCGGCGUGCCUAACACAUGCAAGUCGAACGGAGAACUCGAAAAGCUUGCUUUGAGAGUUCUUAGUGGCGGACGGGUGAGUAACGCGUGGGCAACCUCCCCCUUAAACCGGGACAACCCUUGGAAACGAGGGCUAAUACCGGAUACGCUUUUCUGAGGACAUCCUCGGGAAAGGAAAGGCGGCCUCUGAAGAUGCUGCCGAUAAGGGAUGGACCCGCGUCUGAUUAGCUGGUUGGUGGGGUAAAGGCCUACCAAGGCGACGAUCAGUAGCCGGCCUGAGAGGGUGAACGGCCACACUGGGACUGAGACACGGCCCAGACUCCUACGGGAGGCAGCAGUGGGGAAUCUUCCGCAAUGGACGAAAGUCUGACGGAGCAACGCCGCGUGUAUGACGAAGGCCUCGGUUGUAAGUACUGUC
RNAcentral lists this ribosomal RNA (446 nucleotides) under bacterium enrichment culture clone ALO1_GLFRUDD03FS25Y. RNAcentral's name for it is "bacterial SSU rRNA". It matches the Rfam family "Bacterial small subunit ribosomal RNA", at positions 9 to 437 of the family's 1533-position model. The record is from RNAcentral.